This 447-nucleotide ribosomal RNA is filed under the name uncultured bacterium. RNAcentral's name for it is "partial 16S ribosomal RNA". It matches the Rfam family "Bacterial small subunit ribosomal RNA", at positions 29 to 523 of the family's 1533-position model. The record is from RNAcentral.
AGUGAACGCUGGCGGCAGGCCUAACACAUGCAAGUCGAACGCCCCGCAAGGGGAGUGGCAGACGGGUGAGUAACGCGUGGGAAUAUUCCCUUUGGCUCAGGAUAGCCCCGGGAAACUAGGAUUAAUACUGGAUAAGAUCUACGGAUGAAAGAUCUAUCGCCGAAGGAUUAGCCCGCGUAAGAUUAGUUAGUUGGUGAGGUAACGGCUCACCAAGACAAUGAUCUUUAGCUGGUCUGAGAGGAUGAUCAGCCACACUGGAACUGAGACACGGUCCAGACUCCUACGGGAGGCAGCAGUGAGGAAUAUUGGACAAUGGGCGCAAGCCUGAUCCAGCCAUGCCGCGUGAGUGAUGAAGGCCCUAGGGUUGUAAAACUCUUUUAGUGGGGAAAAUAAUGAUGGUACCCACAGAAAAAGCUCCGGCUAACUUCGUGCCAGCCGCCGCUGUAA